CCCCCCUGGCGACGGACAAAAAGACACCCUUCGGUGUUGGUGUUUUUGUAUCAGUCAGGGGCAGAGCAGAUGGUAACUCCUUUGUUCAUCCUAGCUUGAUGCCGGGCUUAGUGGCUAAAGCUGUUUUAUGCCUAGGACACAUAA
Molecule: small nucleolar RNA, 144 nt
Organism: Psammomys obesus (fat sand rat)
Lineage: Eukaryota; Metazoa; Chordata; Mammalia; Rodentia; Muridae
Product: small nucleolar RNA SNORA48
Exons: 1
Source: RefSeq, a predicted model, not a curated record